GGGGAUGACGGGUAUCGACAGGGCAGAGAGGGCAGAAGCGGCGAGCCGAGGUGUCCGUAUACCACCUCGUAAAACCACGGACAACAAAGUAUUUGGCGAACGCCAGUACGCACUCGCAGCGUAAUUAACGCUGCCGUCCACCCGAGCCCCGCCUCGACGGGCGAAGGAUGGGCGCAAUAAUGCCGAGGUGCUCCGUACCCUCGCCCCGGGGGUCCGGCUAAGAUCAGGGGCUGGCGCCUGCGAAACGUUGUCGGUUUCGGGUCAAAGGCGCGACAACAACGAACCGAAUACGCUCGUAGUCAUUUCUGGUUGAUUCGUUCUGGACGGGGCGUUCGACUCGCCCCCAUCUCCACCA
RNAcentral lists this transfer-messenger RNA (355 nucleotides) under Chloroflexota (GNS bacteria). RNAcentral's name for it is "UBA12225 sp002347925 Standard tmRNA". It matches the Rfam family "transfer-messenger RNA". Rfam says of the family: Bacterial tmRNA, also known as 10Sa RNA or SsrA, is named for its dual tRNA and mRNA-like properties. Its role is to liberate the mRNA from a stalled ribosome. To accomplish this part of the tmRNA is used as a reading frame that ends in a translation stop signal. RNAcentral also lists the same sequence under 2 other names. The record is from RNAcentral. Lineage: Bacteria; Bacillati.